UACGUAGGGAGCAAGCGUUGUCCGGAAUCAUUGGGCGUAAAGCGCGCGUAGGCGGCCUCGUAAGUCCGUUGUGAAAGUCAAAGGCUCAACCUUUGAAAGCCGAUGGAUACUGUGAGGCUAGAGUCCGGAAGAGGCGAGUGGAAUUCCUGGUGUAGCGGUGGAAUGCGCAGAUAUCAGGAGGAACACCGAUAGCGAAGGCAGCUCGCUGGGACGGUACUGACGCUGAGGCGCGAAAGCGUGGGGAGCGAACAGG
Molecule: ribosomal RNA, 253 nt
Filed under: uncultured bacterium
Lineage: Bacteria
Description: partial 16S ribosomal RNA
Rfam family: Bacterial small subunit ribosomal RNA
Source: RNAcentral